This 585-nucleotide ribosomal RNA is filed under the name uncultured bacterium. RNAcentral's name for it is "bacterial SSU rRNA". It matches the Rfam family "Bacterial small subunit ribosomal RNA", at positions 338 to 915 of the family's 1533-position model. The record is from RNAcentral.
CCUACGGGAGGCAGCAGUGGGGAAUUUUGGACAAUGGGCGCAAGCCUGAUCCAGCAAUGCCGCGUGCAGGAAGAAGGCCUUCGGGUUGUAAACUGCUUUUGUCAGGGAAGAAAUCUUCUGGGCUAAUAUCCCGGGAGGAUGACGGUACCUGAAGAAUAAGCACCGGCUAACUACGUGCCAGCAGCCGCGGUAAUACGUAGGGUGCGAGCGUUAAUCGGAAUUACUGGGCGUAAAGCGUGCGCAGGCGGCUUUGCAAGACAGAGGUGAAAUCCCCGGGCUCAACCUGGGAACUGCCUUUGUGACUGCAAGGCUAGAGUACGGCAGAGGGGGAUGGAAUUCCGCGUGUAGCAGUGAAAUGCGUAGAUAUGCGGAGGAACACCGAUGGCGAAGGCAAUCCCCUGGGCCUGUACUGACGCUCAUGCACGAAAGCGUGGGGAGCAAACAGGAUUAGAUACCCUGGUAGUCCACGCCCUAAACGAUGUCAACUGGUUGUUGGACGGCUUGCUGUUCAGUAACGAAGCUAACGCGUGAAGUUGACCGCCUGGGGAGUACGGCCGCAAGGUUGAAACGUCAAAUGAAUUGACG